UCGGGAAUUUUGGGCAAUGGGCGAAAGCCUGACCCAGCAACGCCGCGUGAGGGAUGAAGUAUUUCGGUAUGUAAACCUCGAAAGAACGGGAAGAUAAAUGACGGUACCAUUUAUAAGCUCCGGCUAAAUACGUUCCAAGAGCCGCGGUAAUACGUAGGGGGCAAGCGUUGUUCGGAUUUACUGGGGGGAAAGGGGGCGUAGGCGGCGCGGUAAGUCACUUGUGAAAUCUCUGAGCUUAACUCAGAACGGCCAAGUGAUACUGCUGUGCUAGAGUGCGGAAGAGGCAACCGGAAUUCUUGGUGUAGCGGUGAAAUGCGUAGAUAUCAAGAGGAACACCUGAGGCGAAGGCGGGUUGCUGGGCCGACACUGACGCUGAUGCGCGAAAGCCAGGGGAGCAAACG
RNAcentral lists this ribosomal RNA (401 nucleotides) under uncultured bacterium. Its description in RNAcentral is "bacterial SSU rRNA". It matches the Rfam family "Bacterial small subunit ribosomal RNA", at positions 355 to 774 of the family's 1533-position model. The record is from RNAcentral.